Molecule: ribosomal RNA, 497 nt
Filed under: uncultured bacterium
Lineage: Bacteria
Description: partial 16S ribosomal RNA
Rfam family: Bacterial small subunit ribosomal RNA
Source: RNAcentral
GAUGAACGCUGGCGGCGUGCCUAAUACAUGCAAGUCGAGCGAACAGACGAGGAGCUUGCUCCUCUGACGUUAGCGGCGGACGGGUGAGUAACACGUGGAUAACCUACCUAUAAGACUGGGAUAACUUCGGGAAACCGGAGCUAAUACCGGAUAAUAUAUUGAACCGCAUGGUUCAAUAGUGAAAGACGGUUUUGCUGUCACUUAUAGAUGGAUCCGCGCCGCAUUAGCUAGUUGGUAAGGUAACGGCGUACCAAGGCGACGAUGCGUAGCCGACCUGAGAGGGUGGUCGGCCACACUGGAACUGAGACACGGUCCAGACUCCUACGGGAGGCAGCAGUAGGGAAUCUUCCGCAAUGGGCGAAAGCCUGACGGAGCAACGCCGCGUGAGUGAUGAAGGUCUUCGGAUCGUAAAACUCUGUUAUUAGUGAAGAACAAAUGUGUAAGUAACUAUGCACGUCUUGACGGUACCUAAUCAGAAAGCCACGGCUAACUACGUG